RNAcentral lists this ribosomal RNA (497 nucleotides) under uncultured bacterium. RNAcentral's name for it is "partial 16S ribosomal RNA". It matches the Rfam family "Bacterial small subunit ribosomal RNA", at positions 28 to 507 of the family's 1533-position model. The record is from RNAcentral.
GAUGAACGCUGGCGGCGUGCCUAAUACAUGCAAGUCGAGCGAACAGACGUGGUGCUUGCUCCUCUGACGUUAUCGGCGGACGGGUGAGUAACACGUGGCUAACCUAUCUAUUAGACUGGGAUAACUUCGGGAAACCGGAGCUAAUACCGGAUAAUAUAUUGAACCGCAUGGUUCAAUAGUUAAAGACGGUUUUGCUGUCACUUAUAGAUGGUUCCGCGCCGCAUUAGCUAGUUGGUAAGGUAACGGCUUACCAAGGCGACGAUGCGUAGCCGACGUGAGAGGGUGAUCGGCCACACUGGAACUGGGACACGGUCAAGACUCCUACGGGAGGCAGCAGUAGGGAAUCGUCCGCAAUGGGCGAAAGCCUGACGGAGCAACGCCGCGGGAGUGAGGAAGGUCUUCGGAUCGUAGAACUCUGUUAUUAGGGAAGAACAAAUGUGUAAGUAACUAUGCACGUCUUGACGGUACCUAAACAGAAAGCCACGGCUAACUACGUG